Long non-coding RNA from Folsomia candida, 589 nucleotides. RefSeq lists it as uncharacterized. The transcript has 4 exons. The record is from RefSeq and is a predicted model, not a curated record. Lineage: Eukaryota; Metazoa; Arthropoda; Collembola; Entomobryomorpha; Isotomidae.
UUCUAAGACUCUUCCUUCAUAGAUCUGUUAGCUGUCAAGACGGAGAGAUUGAUUUCCUUAAAUUUCCAUUUUAAAAAAACUUCAGUGUGUCGUGUUGACAUAGUUCGAGUGAGGAUUGCGAAUAUGGCAAUAUUUUCGCGAAAAAGGGUCGCUCCAUUCCUCUUCACACCCCUGUUCUUCCAUUCACUGGAUGACGGAGUAGUUUGUCUUCAGAUUCGGGCCUGGAUGGAGAACGACUUCCAAGGGAAUGAAUUUGUCCCCCAAAUUGAUCGAACCGGUGUUUGCAUAAACGUCCCGGACGCGUUCAACGAUCAAAUCUCCUCCCUCAUUGCGGACGACUGUGUGCAGAUCUGGCGAGAUUUUGGCUGCGUUGGAGAAGGGAGGCAGAUCGCGCAGACGACACAAGUUGCCAGAUUGUCCGACUUUAACUUCAAUGAUGUCACCUCGUCAGUUUCUUUUUGUUGAUCACAACCUUUCUAACGAAAGUUGAAGUACUCUGACUUCCAAUGACCAGUGUUUAAAUUGCUAAUAUGUCCGUUUUACUUUCAAAAUUAGUUGGCAAAAAUAAAUAAUAAUGAUGAUGCAAAAA